This 98-nucleotide transfer RNA is filed under the name Hymenobacter mellowenesis. RNAcentral's name for it is "tRNA-OTHER". It matches the Rfam family "tRNA". From Rfam's summary of the family: Transfer RNA (tRNA) molecules are approximately 80 nucleotides in length. Their secondary structure includes four short double-helical elements and three loops (D, anti-codon, and T loops). The record is from RNAcentral. Lineage: Bacteria; Pseudomonadati; Bacteroidota; Cytophagia; Cytophagales; Hymenobacteraceae.
UGGCGUAUAGCUUAAUUGGUAGAGCCCUCCCUUGGUGUUGAUAUGUAAUGAUACCAGUACCAAGGAGGCGGUUGUCGGUUCGAGUCCGACUGCGCCAA